Molecule: small RNA, 65 nt
Filed under: Arabidopsis thaliana (thale cress)
Lineage: Eukaryota; Viridiplantae; Streptophyta; Magnoliopsida; Brassicales; Brassicaceae
Description: ATSL120900
Source: RNAcentral
UCCUAAUGAGUUGGUGUCUUGCAUAGCUUUUUGCACAUGAUGCUUUUAACAUUACUCAUCUUAUU